RNAcentral lists this ribosomal RNA (788 nucleotides) under uncultured Sulfitobacter sp. RNAcentral describes it as "bacterial SSU rRNA". It matches the Rfam family "Bacterial small subunit ribosomal RNA", at positions 37 to 871 of the family's 1533-position model. Lineage: Bacteria; Pseudomonadati; Pseudomonadota; Alphaproteobacteria; Rhodobacterales; Roseobacteraceae. The record is from RNAcentral.
UGGCGGCAGGCCUAACACAUGCAAGUCGAGCGCAGUCCUUCGGGACCGAGCGGCGGACGGGUUAGUAACGCGUGGGAACAUACCCUUUUCUACGGAAUAGCCUCGGGAAACUGAGAGUAAUACCGUAUAAGCCCUUCGGGGGAAAGAUUUAUCGGGAAAGGAUUGGCCCGCGUUAGAUUAGAUAGUUGGUGGGGUAAUGGCCUACCAAGUCUACGAUCUAUAGCUGGUUUUAGAGGAUGAUCAGCAACACUGGGACUGAGACACGGCCCAGACUCCUACGGGAGGCAGCAGUGGGGAAUCUUAGACAAUGGGCGCAAGCCUGAUCUAGCCAUGCCGCGUGUGUGAUGAAGGUCUUAGGAUCGUAAAGCACUUUCGCCAGGGAUGAUAAUGACAGUACCUGGUAAAGAAACCCCGGCUAACUCCGUGCCAGCAGCCGCGGUAAUACGGAGGGGGUUAGCGUUGUUCGGAAUUACUGGGCGUAAAGCGUACGUAGGCGGAUCAGAAAGUUAGGGGUGAAAUCCCGAGGCUCAACCUCGGAACUGCCUCUAAAACUCCUGGUCUUGAGUUCGAGAGAGGUGAGUGGAAUUCCAAGUGUAGAGGUGAAAUUCGUAGAUAUUUGGAGGAACACCAGUGGCGAAGGCGGCUCACUGGCUCGAUACUGACGCUGAGGUACGAAAGUGUGGGGAGCAAACAGGAUUAGAUACCCUGGUAGUCCACACCGUAAACGAUGAAUGCCAGUCGUCGGGCAGUAUACUGUUCGGUGACACACCUAACGGAUUAAGCAUCCG